RNAcentral lists this ribosomal RNA (484 nucleotides) under uncultured bacterium. RNAcentral describes it as "bacterial SSU rRNA". It matches the Rfam family "Bacterial small subunit ribosomal RNA", at positions 25 to 518 of the family's 1533-position model. The record is from RNAcentral.
CAGGACGAACGCUGGCGGCGUGCCUAACACAUGCAAGUCGAGCGGAGUAAUUGAAAGCUUGCUUUGAUUAACUUAGCGGCGGACGGGUGAGUAACGCGUGGGCAACCUGCCUGUUACAGGGGGAUAACACAGGGAAACUUGUGCUAAUACCGCAUAACACAACGAGAAAGCAUUUUCUUGUUGUCAAAGGAGCAAUCCGGUAAUAGAUGGGCCCGCGUCCAAUUAGCUAGUUGGUGAUGUAACGGACCACCAAGGCGACGAUUGGUAGCCGAACUGAGAGGUUGAUCGGCCACAUUGGGACUGAGACACGGCCCAGACUCCUACGGGAGGCAGCAGUGGGGAAUAUUGCACAAUGGGGGAAACCCUGAUGCAGCAACGCCGCGUGAAGGAUGAAGGUUUUCGGAUUGUAAACUUCUUUAGUCAGGGACGAAUAAAUGACGGUACCUGAAGAAUAAGCCACGGCUAACUACGUGCCAGCCGCGGC